RNAcentral lists this ribosomal RNA (807 nucleotides) under Limnonectes woodworthi (Woodworth's wart frog). RNAcentral describes it as "partial large subunit ribosomal RNA". It matches the Rfam family "Bacterial large subunit ribosomal RNA", at positions 1422 to 2569 of the family's 2925-position model. The record is from RNAcentral. Lineage: Eukaryota; Metazoa; Chordata; Amphibia; Anura; Dicroglossidae.
ACCUUACAAACCUUUAAACCCUUUACUACUAUUAAGUAAUUCUAUAACAAUAUAGAAGUUUUUAUGCUAAAACUAGUAACAAGAAAUUGAUUUUUCUCCAAAAUUUAUGUAUAAACCAAAAUGGACCCACCAUUGGUGAUUAACGUCAAUAAAACCAUUAUAGUAACACACCCAGAAAACACUAUUAUUUUUUACGUUAACCUUACACAAGUAAACUUCUGGAAAGAUUAAAAGAAAAAGAAGGAACUCGGCAAAUUUUAACCCCGCCUGUUUACCAAAAACAUCGCCUCUUGAUAAAAUAUAAGAGGUCCAGCCUGCCCAGUGAUAUUCUUAAACGGCCGCGGUACCCUGACCGUGCAAAGGUAGCAUAAUCAUUUGUUCUUUAAAUAAGGACUCGUAUCAACGGCAUUACGAGGGUUAUACUGUCUCCUUUUUCCAAUCAGUGAAACUGACCUCCCCGUGAAGAGGCGGGGAUAUAAAUACAAGACGAGAAGACCCCAUGGAGCUUUAAACCCAAUAACAACUCUUUUUACAUGAACUUUAAAAACAUAAGUGUACUGUUUAUUGGUUUUAGGUUGGGGUGACCACGGAGUAAAAAUUAACCUCCCUGACGAAUAGAUUCUAUCUUUAUCUAAGAGCAACUACUCGAAGAAUCAAAAACUUGACGCCACAUGAUCCGGCAACCGAUCAACGAACCAAGUUACCCUGGGGAUAACAGCGCAAUCCAUUUUAAGAGCUCCUAUCGACAAAUGGGUUUACGACCUCGAUGUUGGAUCAGGGUAUCCCAGUGGUGCAGCCGCUACUAAA